UACAGAGGGUGCGAGCGUUAAUCGGAGUUACUGGGCGUAAAGGGCGCGUAGGCGGAUAGAUAAGUGUGAUGUGAAAGCCCCGGGCUUAACCUGGGAAGAGCAUCGCAAACGAUGUAUCUGGAGUAUAUGAGAGGGUGGCGGAAUUUCCGGUGUAGCGGUGAAAUGCGUAGAGAUCGGAAGGAACGUCGAUGGCGAAGGCAGCCACCUGGCAUAAUACUGACGCUGAGGCGCGAAAGCGUGGGGAGCGAACAGG
Molecule: ribosomal RNA, 253 nt
Filed under: uncultured Aquicella sp.
Lineage: Bacteria; Pseudomonadati; Pseudomonadota; Gammaproteobacteria; Legionellales; Coxiellaceae
Description: partial 16S ribosomal RNA
Rfam family: Bacterial small subunit ribosomal RNA
Source: RNAcentral